GUAGGGAAUAUUGGGCAAUGGAGGCAACUCUGACCCAGCCAUGCCGCGUGCAGGAUGACGGCCCUCUGGGUUGUAAACUGCUUUUAUACGGGAAGAAAAAAUACUACGUGUAGUAUACUGACGGUACCGUAAGAAUAAGGAUCGGCUAACUCCGUUCCAGCAGCCGCGGUAAUACGGAGGAUCCAAGCGUUGUCCGGAUUUAUUGGGUUUAAAGGGUGCGUAGGCGGAUCUUUAAGUCAGUGGUGAAAGCCUGCAGCUUAACUGUAGAAUAGCCAUUGAAACUGAAGGUCUUGAAUGUGGUUAAAGUAGGCGGAAUGUAUCAUGUAGCGGUGAAAUGCUUAGAUAUGAUACAGAACUCCGAUAGCGAAGGCAGCUUGCUGAACCAUUAUUGACGCUGAGGCACGAAAGCGUGGGGAGCGAACAGGAUUAGAAACCCUUGUAGUCC
Molecule: ribosomal RNA, 445 nt
Filed under: uncultured bacterium
Lineage: Bacteria
Description: partial 16S ribosomal RNA
Rfam family: Bacterial small subunit ribosomal RNA
Source: RNAcentral